Molecule: ribosomal RNA, 908 nt
Filed under: uncultured archaeon
Lineage: Archaea
Description: bacterial SSU rRNA
Rfam family: Archaeal small subunit ribosomal RNA
Source: RNAcentral
UCCGUGAUCUGCGGACCUGACUGCUAUCGGAUGAUACUAAGCAUGCGAGUCUUUGUAGUAAUACAAGGCAGACGGCUCAGUAACACGUAGUCAAUCUACCCUAUGGACAGGGAUAACCUCGGGAAACUGAGAAUAAUACCUGAUAGAUCAUUAUGCCUGGAAUGGUUUAUGGUCGAAAUGAUUUAUCGCCGUAGGAUGGGACUGCGGUCUAUCAGCUUGUUGGUGAGGUAAUGGCCCACCAAGGCUAUAACAGAUACGGGCUCUGAGAGGAGAAGCCCGGAGAUGGGUACUGAGACACGGACCCAGGCCCUAUGGGGCGCAGCAGGCGAGAAAACUUUGCAAUGUGCGAAAGCACGACAAGGUUAAUCCGAGUGUUUUCUGCUAAAGAAAUCUUUUGUCAGUCCUAAAAACACUGAUGAAUAAGGGGUGGGCAAGUUCUGGUGUCAGCCGCCGCGGUAAAACCAGCACCUCAAGUGGUCAGGAGGAUUAUUGGGCCUAAAGCAUCCGUAGCCGGCUCUGUAAGUUUUCGGUUAAAUCUAUACGCUCAACGUAUAGGCUGCCGGGAAUACUGCAAAGCUAGGGAGUGGGAGAGGUAGACGGUACUCGGUAGGAAGGGGUAAAAUCCUUUGAUCUAUUGAUGACCACCUGUGGCGAAGGCGGUCUACUAGAACACGUCCGACGGUGAGGGAUGAAAGCUGGGGGAGCAAACCGGAUUAGAUACCCGGGUAGUCCCAGCUGUAAACUAUGCAAACUCAGUGAUGCACUGGCUUGUGGCCAGUGCAGUGCCGCAGGGAAGCCGUUAAGUUUGCCGCCUGGGAAGUACGUACGCAAGUAUGAAACUUAAAGGAAUUGGCGGGGGAGCACCACAAGGGGUGAAGCCUGCGGUUCAAUUGGAGUCAACGCCGGGA